GCCCCGGUGGCCUAAUGGAUAAGGCAUUGGUCUCCUAAACCAAAGAUUGUGGGUUCAAGUGUUCAAAUCCCAUCUGGGGUG
Non-coding RNA from Protopterus annectens (West African lungfish), 81 nucleotides. The record is from the annotation of a RefSeq genome assembly. NCBI's taxonomy places the organism in Eukaryota, Metazoa, Chordata, Ceratodontiformes, Protopteridae.